AAACACUUAUAGAAGAAGCGCAUAAAAGAACCAGACGUUUUUUAACCCACGGACUAACGUUUGCCGUUAAGUUGGAGGAGGAUCACCCUCGCUGUUACGGAUAUCGUUAGCGAAAGAUCCAACACAAGCUUUGCAAACCCCUGCAACCAUUCUCGCAGGCGACAAUGAUAAAUUUCUUCAUCAUUUUGACAAUGUCACGCGUUCGACUCCUUGAAGCUAUAUUCCGUCUGAUUUUAUGAUUUUCUUGUUUAGGUUUUCUUGAUGGUUCCACAAAUUCAUGUGGGGUUGAAAAUAUAGUGUUAUAUCUUGUUUUAGCUGCAAAGUGACAUUGCAACAAAAUGUUCAAAGGAGACAUGGGAAGGCCUCCUUCAUUGUUGAGCCUCUGCCUACAGACUGCAAUUGAUAAUAUUCGAUAUCUUGGUGAUGUGGGAGAGACAGACUCAGAACUAUUGAAGGUUAUUUUGGUUCACUGUACUCCAGAACAACUGAGGUUCAUUGAGGAUUCAACUGAAGGAAGAGACUUGAGUCCAGUCACAGAUAGCCUCUGGCUGAACUUUUAUGAGCGUAAAUUUGGGGAAGAAAAUGCUAAUUUGGUGAAGAAGAGGAUGGGGCAGAAAGGGGUCUGCUUCAAGUGGAAGUUACUUUUUGAAGCAAAGGCUGAAGAGCAGGAGAAGCAACAGCAGAAGACACUUGAGAAGUCAUUAAAUCGGCUUAAGCAAUUAUAUGCAAAAGCUGAUCAAGAAAAGCAAAAUAAGCAGAUACAAAUAUGUACAAAGGUUCCACCUACAAAAGGGAAAAGGAAUUAUGGAGGUUUUGGUUCGAGUGUUGAUCUCUCUAAUGUGAAGGGUCGGCUCAUGAAAAAGGCAAAGAUGGAAUUUAUUGCUUGUCGUGAAGCAAGAGCACAGCCAACAAGAUUGAACAGAAUUUCAGCUCAGAGCAGGGUACCCUUAGGGAGGGUAUCAAAUGUGUCCAAGAGUGCUUCAUCAAUGACCUCUAGUGAGGCAAUAAGCUCAAAUUUAAAUACAGCUUCAACUAAAUCCCCCUUAACGAUGACUAAAAGUCAUGUUAUUAACUCAAAUAUGUCCACAGCUACAGCUAAAAGUUCUUCGUCGGUAAGACAUGGGAUGAACUCUAGUGUUUCUACAGCUUCUCAGCAUAGAACAAACUCAAGUUUGUCUACAUGUUCUCCUAAAAGCUUUUCAACAACAACCUCAAGUGGUCUGGCAAAAUCAAAUGUAAUAGGUCGGGGUUCAAGUAUCAGAGCUAAGGAUUCCAUGGUAGAGCCUAAAAGGAAGAUUUUCUGAUUGGAGUCUGGAAGUGUUUUAUGGGCUUUCAAAAGGGACUAUAUCUCGUGAGUAGUGCUUCUUUGGUUUUUGAUAUUGUGGACCAUUGCCUUCUUGUUUGGUAUGUCAAAAUUUUCAUGACCUAACUGCAUCCACUGAUGGCAAUAAAUGCUGCUCUUCAAGAAGUUUUUCCCCAUGCAUCAAUUCAAAUUUCACUAUAUACGGAGUAUCAAUGCUAAUUGGAAGAAUUUGUUAUCACAGAUUCACAAGCAUAGUAAUCAAUAAACUUUAUUUAUGUGUAUUAUAUGCUACUUUGAACGUGAUCAAUCGAGAACACCUUUUGAUCUAUGUCUUCUGCAAAUACAAUGUAGAUGCCAUUGUACUGCACAAGUCGAAGGGGAGUAUUCGUAAAGCUCAGUCAUCAUCAUGACAAUUAGUUUCCACGAGUAGGCAUAAUCACAUGGAAAGAGAUCCCUAAGGCACAUCGUCCCUUUUCUCACAAUAUAUGGGUAUAGGGAGGAUCAAGCUUAAAGGCACAAAGAGAACAUGUGAUUGUUUUAAUGCCCAGUGGAAGCUUCUGACAACGAACAAUUUGUUGUGCAUUAUACAGCAGGUCUGGAUUAUGUUUAAAUUCCAAGCAAUUAUUUUCACAACAAUCGUGCCCUAUAGAGGGCUUGAAAUACAAUAAUUGCAUUAUGUUUUUAAAUUAUGUAAUAUGUAAUAGUUGUUCCUCUAUGCUACUUUCCAUGGCAUGGGAGCAACCGAUCAAACAGCUACUUGCAGGCUGCAGCAGAGUUUACUUCAUAAUAUGAUUGUUUUAUCUUAGGAUUUCAUUAAUAGAAAAACAUCGUUGAAAUAACCAGUUUUUCAUAAACAUACUCCACUGAAGACGUAAUUUCAAAGAUAAAUAUGAUUGACAGCAAAUUAUGGUGAUCUCUCUAAGCCUCUAUGAGAUCAUCUGCAUUGAAAAAUUACUGUUCCAGCUAGAGAGAGUUUAGCUAGAGAAAGUUUUGGUCCCAAGAAAGUAGCUGUCCAACUUGAAAUGGCAAUAGUUAUAUAUCCAAAAAUAACCCACAUUCUGUACUUCACAUGUUACUCGAUCCACUAUAUCUUGAACUAACAUUCCAGCUCAAUAACCAGGGUUGCAUUUGCAAUACCCCCGUCGUUCCCUGAUUUGGCAAGGAAUAGUGAUGAGUUGUAAUCCAAGGACCCUGUGAUGAACAGUAUGAACUAUUAAUUUGACUCUUUAGAUAUGGUAAUCAUGAACUAAUAUGUUAUAAUAAGAUGAUAAUAGUAUUCAGAGUAAAUAAUUCUAGGUCAGCUUUUAAGUAAUUUCUAAAGUGAUUUAGGAAUAAUAUUUGUGCUAAUUAAGGUAUUAUUUGAACUAAUGUUUGACCUGGAGAAUUGUUUGGUUAAGAUUGUGGUUUCUGACUAUUGAUCUGAUAAGUUUAAUUGAGUGAGUUUUGUAUAUGCAUGUGUUAAUUGAUUACAAGUGGAGCACAAGGGCGAGCAGGAAGGAGGACGACAGAGGAAGGGCGACCAGGAAGAACAAGGCAUGAAGGCAGCUGACAAAGGAUCGCCCAUUUUUGGCUUUUCACCUGCCAAUCGCAUAGCUUGAAGUUUCUAAAAGUCCUUUGUUAAAUUUUCUUGGAAGGCGAGUGCAGAUCCUAGAAUCGCACACACCAUAUGACUGGAUAAGAUGAUUUUAAAAGAGAGAUCAUUAAAUUUUGUUUGGGGAGUGAGGUUUGGGGGAUCUAAGUAGCUGCGCGCAUGAUAAAUACAGAACGUGUAAAUUGUGGAUGCCCAUGUUUACAACUGUCAACUGCAUGUUUACAUUGUGUUGAUGUUAUGACCUUUUCAUUGAGAAUAUUGAAACAAUAAUAAUUUUAUAUAUUUAAGUUUUCUAUUAUUGUC
This is an RNA transcript of Cryptomeria japonica (Japanese cedar), 3197 nucleotides long. RefSeq lists it as uncharacterized. The record is from RefSeq and is a predicted model, not a curated record. Lineage: Eukaryota; Viridiplantae; Streptophyta; Pinopsida; Cupressales; Cupressaceae. The transcript is spliced from 11 exons.